GAAAUUUUGGCAAGGUGAAAUUCACCUUGCAAAAUUGGUCAUUUGGCAAGGUGAAUUGCCUCCCCUUGCGAAAUGGUGUUCCCAUUGCUUGUGCUCGUGUUUCCACUUGAAAUUCAAGCCUGUAAACGUCCAAAAUCCUUGCUUAACUCGCCCAAGUAGCUCCUCCAUCAAUUGGCAUGCUUGAAUUGGUUCAUAAGCUGAUGAAAAACAUGUAAACUUGCCA
RNAcentral lists this long non-coding RNA (223 nucleotides) under Vitis vinifera (wine grape). Its description in RNAcentral is "long non-coding RNA (VVIN_LNC002188)". The record is from RNAcentral. Lineage: Eukaryota; Viridiplantae; Streptophyta; Magnoliopsida; Vitales; Vitaceae.